Molecule: ribosomal RNA, 256 nt
Filed under: uncultured bacterium
Lineage: Bacteria
Description: partial 16S ribosomal RNA
Rfam family: Bacterial small subunit ribosomal RNA
Source: RNAcentral
UACAGAGGGUGCGAGCGUUGUCCGGAAUCACUGGGCGUAAAGGGCGCGUAGGUGGUGGCUUAAGCGUGCGGUGAAAGCUCGGGGCUCAACUCCGAGUCGGCCGUGCGAACUGGGCUCACUGGAGCAUAGUAGAGGCAGGUGGAAUUCCGGGUGUAGCGGUGGAAUGCGUAGAGAUCCGGAAGAACACCGGUGGCGAAGGCGGUUAGCUGGGCAGUUGCUGGACACUGAGGCGCGACAGCGUGGGGAGCAAACAGGG